RNAcentral lists this long non-coding RNA (213 nucleotides) under Capsella rubella. RNAcentral describes it as "long non-coding RNA (CRUB_LNC005076)". Lineage: Eukaryota; Viridiplantae; Streptophyta; Magnoliopsida; Brassicales; Brassicaceae. The record is from RNAcentral.
AUACACGAAUCUCAUUCAUUACAUGAUCUCUGCACAUGACAAAACCAAAUAAAGAUAAGUAUAUAUAAAAACGAUAACUAAUAUAAAAAAAAAGAAUAAACCAAAAAAAAAUCAAUUAUUGUGAAGGAAACAGGAAUCAAACAUAUACAGUUUGAUAAUAUAUGAAAAUAAAUUUGAUAAUUGAUCUGCGAUUGCAUUACACUACCAUCCCAC